RNAcentral lists this ribosomal RNA (674 nucleotides) under uncultured cyanobacterium. RNAcentral describes it as "bacterial SSU rRNA". It matches the Rfam family "Bacterial small subunit ribosomal RNA", at positions 344 to 1032 of the family's 1533-position model. Lineage: Bacteria; Bacillati; Cyanobacteriota. The record is from RNAcentral.
GAAUUCGCCCUUGGGGAAUUUUCCGCAAUGUGCGAAAGCCUGACGGAGCAACGCCGCGUGAGGGAGGAAGGUCUUUGGAUUGUAAACCUCUUUUCUCAAGGAAGAAGUUCUGACGGUACUUGAGGAAUCAGCCUCGGCUAACUCCGUGCCAGCAGCCGCGGUAAUACGGGGGAGGCAAGCGUUAUCCGGAAUUAUUGGGCGUAAAGCGUCCGCAGGUGGUCAGCCAAGUCUGCCGUCAAAUCAGGUUGCUUAACGACCUAAAGGCGGUGGAAACUGGCAGACUAGAGAGCAGUAGGGGUAGCAGGAAUUCCCAGUGUAGCGGUGAAAUGCGUAGAGAUUGGGAAGAACAUCGGUGGCGAAAGCGUGCUACUGGGCUGUAUCUGACACUCAGGGACGAAAGCUAGGGGAGCGAAAGGGAUUAGAUACCCCUGUAGUCCUAGCCGUAAACGAUGGAUACUAGGCGUGGCUUGUAUCGACCCGAGCCGUGCCGAAGCUAACGCGUUAAGUAUCCCGCCUGGGGAGUACGCACGCAAGUGUGAAACUCAAAGGAAUUGACGGGGGCCCGCACAAGCGGUGGAGUAUGUGGUUUAAUUCGAUGCAACGCGAAGAACCUUACCAAGACUUGACAUGUCGCGAACCCUGGUGAAAGCUGGGGGUGCCUUCGGGAGCGCGAA